RNAcentral lists this long non-coding RNA (602 nucleotides) under Homo sapiens (human). RNAcentral's name for it is "non-protein coding lnc-JPH4-4:5". The record is from RNAcentral. Lineage: Eukaryota; Metazoa; Chordata; Mammalia; Primates; Hominidae.
GGGGCUAUCAGUCCAACUCCUCAGUUAAUAGCCAGGGAAACAGAAGCCCAGGGAGAUAAAGACGGUGGCAGAGGAGGAAUUCUUUCUUAGCAGAUCUUCCAUUCCUAAUCCAGGAUCAUUUCCAGGGCUCCCAGGUUCUCAAGAUGCUUGAAUCCUGGGACAAACACAGAGGAAGGAGCUCCUAAGGAUGGGGGCAGUGGUGAGGAAACAGGCCACUGAGACAGUGAUGGUGUUUGUAGGCAAAGAAGCUACUUGUAUUUGCCAACCACACCAGGAGGCCAGGAGAAAUCUUUUGCCACAUUUGGAGAAAGGAUUGAAGAGAAAUGAGAGCCUGGAUGUGAAGAAAACAUUAGGAAGCUGCAGCAGUAACCUAUGUGAGAAAUUAAGAGAACCUAAAUCAGAUCCGUUGGCCAUCAAGAUUUCACUCAUUUUGAGACCUAGAGAUUGGUGCUCCUGGAGCUGUGAAAUGCGUGGCCUCUGUAGCCCUGGCCCCAUCAGCAGAGGGAGGAGAAGAGGAGAAGCAGCUGGACAUCAGAGACUAUGGUUGGACAUUGGAGAGAAGCAGCUUGACUUCAAAGGGACGGCUUGAUGGCAUUGCUUCG